Molecule: transfer RNA, 77 nt
Filed under: Bauldia sp.
Lineage: Bacteria; Pseudomonadati; Pseudomonadota; Alphaproteobacteria; Hyphomicrobiales; Kaistiaceae
Description: tRNA-Met
Rfam family: tRNA
About the family: Transfer RNA (tRNA) molecules are approximately 80 nucleotides in length. Their secondary structure includes four short double-helical elements and three loops (D, anti-codon, and T loops).
Source: RNAcentral
CGCGGGGUGGAGCAGCCCGGUAGCUCGUCAGGCUCAUAACCUGAAGGACGUCAGUUCAAAUCUGGCCCCCGCAACCA